RNAcentral lists this unclassified non-coding RNA (254 nucleotides) under fungal sp. Its description in RNAcentral is "partial internal transcribed spacer region". The stretch from base 1 to 46 matches the Rfam family "Eukaryotic small subunit ribosomal RNA", at positions 1786 to 1831 of the family's 1831-position model. The record is from RNAcentral. Lineage: Eukaryota; Fungi.
AAGUCGUAACAAGGUAACCGUAGGUGAACCUGCGGUUGGAUCAUUAAUAAAUUCUAGAGCAGAUGUGAUCGAGCAAUCGAGAUCUCUGUUUCUUAACAAUUUGUGAAUCGUUUAUUGUCUCUUGCAACUAAGAUUAAGGCUUUCACGAGUCUCUUGGUUGCAUGUGAAUCUUAACAUUGUAAUAUAACUAUUUGUCUUGAAAUUUAAACCUAAAAAUUUAAAAACAACUUUUGACAACGGAUCUCUAGGCUCUC